This 36-nucleotide ribosomal RNA is filed under the name Megalophaedusa hakonensis. RNAcentral describes it as "Hemiphaedusa hakonensis partial 18S rRNA". The record is from RNAcentral. Lineage: Eukaryota; Metazoa; Mollusca; Gastropoda; Stylommatophora; Clausiliidae.
GGGUUUCCGUAGGUGAACCUGCGGAAGGAUCAUUAU